UACGUAGGCAGCGAGCGUUGUUCGGAGUUACUGGGCGUAAAGAGUGCGUAGGCGGUUUUCUAAGUUUGGUGUGAAAUCUCCCGGCUCAACUGGGAGGGUGCGCCGAAGACUGGAAGGCUUGAGUAUGGGAGAGGUAAGCGGAAUUCCUGGUGUAGCGGUGAAAUGCGUAGAUAUCAGGAGGAACACCUGCGGUGUAGACGGCUUGCUGGACCAUAACUGACGCUGAGGCACGAAAGCGUGGGUAGCAAACAGG
RNAcentral lists this ribosomal RNA (253 nucleotides) under uncultured bacterium. Its description in RNAcentral is "partial 16S ribosomal RNA". It matches the Rfam family "Bacterial small subunit ribosomal RNA", at positions 524 to 776 of the family's 1533-position model. The record is from RNAcentral.